This is a long non-coding RNA of Oncorhynchus keta (chum salmon), 2991 nucleotides long. RefSeq lists it as uncharacterized. The transcript is spliced from 4 exons. Lineage: Eukaryota; Metazoa; Chordata; Actinopteri; Salmoniformes; Salmonidae. The record is from RefSeq and is a predicted model, not a curated record.
GAAAGAGAAGGGGAAAAAGAUACAUUCGUUAUUUUCUAUUGGCUAAACGAGGGAUCGCGUCACAUUUGAUGGACAGAGAACCAACUACACCAGUGAAGCUAGAACAUCGUGGAAUAGGUAACUAACAGAUGUAGAGGAAAAGACCAGUAGACUGGAUGUUUUAUCUACCUGUCUAGAACCAGUCUAGAACCAGUCUAAAACCAGUCUAGAACUAACUACACCAGUGAAGCUAGAACAUUGUGGAAUAGGUAACUAACAGAUGUAGAGGAAAAGACCAGUAGACUGGAUGUUUUAUCUACCUGUCUAGAACCAGUCUAGAACCAGUCUAAAACCAGUCUAGAACCAACUACACCAGUGAAGCUAGAACAUCGUGGAAUAGGUAACUAACAGAUGUAGAGGAAAAGACCAGUAGACUGGAUGUUUUAUCUACCUGUCUAGAACCAGUCUAGAACCAGUCUAGAACCAACUACACCAGUGAAGCUAGAACAUCGUGGAAUAGGUAACUAACAGAUGUAGAGGAAAAGACCAGUAGACUGGAUGUUUUAUCUACCAGUCUAGAACCAGUCUAGAACCAGACUAGAACCAGUCUAGAACCAGUCUAGAACCAGUCUAGAACCAGUCUAGAACCAGUCUAAAACCAGUCUAGAACCAACUACACCAGUGAAGCUAGAACAUCGUGGAAUAGGUAACUAACAGAUGUAGAGGAAAAGACCAGUAGACUGGAUGUUUUAUCUACCUGUCUAGAACCAGUCUAGAACCAGUCUAGAACCAGUCUAGAACCAACUACACCAGUGAAGCUAGAACAUUGUGGAAUAGGUAACUAACAGAUGUAGAGGAAAAGACCAGUAGACUGGAUGUUUUAUCUACCUGUCUAGAACCAGUCUAGAACCAGUCUAGAACCAACUACACCAGUGAAGCUAGAACAUCGUGGAAUAGGUAACUAACAGAUGUAGAGGAAAAGACCAGUAGACUGGAUGUUUUAUCUACCUGUCUAGAACCAGUCUAGAACCAGUCUAGAACCAGUCUAGAACCAACUACACCAGUGAAGCUAGAACAUUGUGGAAUAGGUAACUAACAGAUGUAGAGGAAAAGACCAGUAGACUGGAUGUUUUAUCUACCUGUCUAGAACCAGUCUAGAACCAGUCUAGAACCAACUACACCAGUGAAGCUAGAACAUCGUGGAAUAGGUAACUAACAGAUGUAGAGGAAAAGACCAGUAGACUGGAUGUUUUAUCUACCUGUCUAGAACCAGUCUAGAACCAGUCUAGAACCAGUCUAGAACCAACUACACCAGUGAAGCUAGAACAUCGUGGAAUAGGUAACUAACAGAUGUAGAGGAAAAGACCAGUAGACUGGAUGUUUUAUCUACCUGUCUAGAACCAGUCUAGAACCAGUCUAGAACCAAACCAGUCUAGAACCAGUCUAGAACCAACUACACCAGUGAAGCUAGAAUAUCGUGGAAUAGGUAACUAAUAGAUGUAGAGGAAAAGACCAGUAGACUGGAUGUUUUAUCUACCUGUCUAAAACCAGUCUAGAACCAGUCUAGAACCAGUCUAGAACCAGACUAAAACCAGUCUAGAACCAGUCUAGAACCAGACUAAAACCAGUCUAGAACCAACUACAUCAGUGAAGCUAGAACAUCGUGGAAUAGGUAACUAACAGAUGUAGAGGAAAAGACCAGUAGACUGGAUGUUUUAUCUACCUGUCUAGAACCAGUCUAGAACCAGUCUAGAACCAGUCUAGAACCAACUACACCAGUGAAGCUAGAACAUUGUGGAAUAGGUAACUAACAGAUGUAGAGGAAAAGACCAGUAGACUGGAUGUUUUAUCUACCUGUCUAGAACCAGUCUAGAACCAGUCUAGAACCAACUACACCAGUGAAGCUAGAACAUCGUGGAAUAGGUAACUAACAGAUGUAGAGGAAAAGACCAGUAGACUGGAUGUUUUAUCUACCUGUCUAGAACCAGUCUAGAACCAGUCUAGAACCAACUACACCAGUGAAGCUAGAACAUCGUGGAAUAGGUAACUAACAGAUGUAGAGGAAAAGACCAGUAGACUGGAUGUUUUAUCUACCUGUCUAGAACCAGUCUAGAACCAGUCUAGAACCAACUACACCAGUGAAGCUAGAACAUCGUGGAAUAGGUAACUAACAGAUGUAGAGGAAAAGACCAGUAGACUGGAUGUUUUAUCUACCAGUCUAGAACCAGUCUAGAACCAGACUAGAACCAGUCUAGAACCAGUCUAGAACCAGUCUAAAACCAGUCUAAAACCAGUCUAGAACCAACUACACCAGUGAAGCUAGAACAUCGUGGAAUAGGUAACUAACAGAUGUAGAGGAAAAGACCAGUAGACUGGAUGUUUUAUCUACCUGUCUAGAACCAGUCUAGAACCAGUCUAGAACCAGUCUAGAACCAACUACACCAGUGAAGCUAGAACAUUGUGGAAUAGGUAACUAACAGAUGUAGAGGAAAAGACCAGUAGACUGGAUGUUUUAUCUACCUGUCUAGAACCAGUCUAGAACCAGUCUAGAACCAACUACACCAGUGAAGCUAGAACAUCGUGGAAUAGGUAACUAACAGAUGUAGAGGAAAAGACCAGUAGACUGGAUGUUUUAUCUACCUGUCUAGAACCAGUCUAGAACCAGUCUAGAACCAACUACACCAGUGAAGCUAGAACAUCGUGGAAUAGGUAACUAACAGAUGUAGAGGAAAAGACCAGUAGACUGGAUGUUUUAUCUACCAGUCUAGAACCAGUCUAGAACCAGACUAGAACCAGUCUAGAACCAGUCUAAAACCAGUCUAGAACCAGUCUAGAACCAGUCUAAAACCAGUCUAGAACCAACUACACCAGUGAAGCUAGAACAUCGUGGAAUAGGUAACUAACAGAUGUAGAGGAAAAGACCAGUAGACUGGAUGUUUUAUCUACCUGUCUAGAACCAGUCUAGAACCAGUCUAGAACCAGUCUAGAACCAACUACACCAGUGAAGCUAGA